Molecule: ribosomal RNA, 912 nt
Filed under: Triticum aestivum (bread wheat)
Lineage: Eukaryota; Viridiplantae; Streptophyta; Magnoliopsida; Poales; Poaceae
Description: partial small subunit ribosomal RNA
Source: RNAcentral
AUGCCUCGUGGUCUCCUGUCCUUCUUCCUGCACCUUGUUCGUAGCGGCGGUAGACGCCGACAGGGCCGUCGCCGUCGCCAUGGUGUUGGCGGACUUCGCCGCCAAUACCGCCACGCCCGUGAUCUACGCCGGUUCGGAGGCCGCCGGAACGGUUUCCGUCGCCGUGGACCACGUCUUGGACAUGGCGCUCGGGGUCGCGAUGGUGCUGGGCCUUCUAAUGCUCCGCCCGAACCGGCCAUGCCGGCGGCGGCGCCGCUCCCGGCCUGGAUUCUUGGCGGACCGACCGCUCCAAACCUGUACGCGGACGAGGUACUGGAGCCCGCGGACGACGCAGUGGACGUCGACGUUGAGCCGGAACUUGCGGCUCCUCCACCACCGCGUCCGUGCCCGGUGCAUGGUUGGGGGCCAUGGAUGGUCCUGCAGCCACCCCCGCCACAAGAUUACGAGGUCCAGGAGGAGGCCGAACCUGCGCCGCCCGCGGAGCCCGCGCAGCCGGACUCCCCGCGUCUUCGGUCUCCGACGCCGGCGCACGAGGCGGCCGGCGCUGGGGCUUCUUCGUCGAGCGCUAGCCUCGGGCUGCGCCUCCCCGCGCGGGCUGCUGCGCUCGGGGACGUCUUCGACAACUGGGCGAGCAGCUCCACUGGCCCAUCGGCGCCCCGCCGCUGGCACAUAGUGCCGCGGGCCGAGCUGCAACGCAGCCGCGCGGUGGUUCUCGGACUGGCCAACGGCCACUCCAACGGCGUCGCCAACGGCCACACCAACGGCGUCGCACCUGGGACGCAGCUUCCUGGUGGAUCUUCUUCAGAGGAGGAAGAUGCUGUGGUAGUGGUGCUGACGGCCACCGCUCGAGUUGGAUUGGGGACAUUUGUCGAUGGGAACGAAGUAUCCCGUCGCCGGACAGGGAUCUGGUGA